GUAGCAAGGCUCUUCUAUUUAUUCAGAAAUAACCACUAUGUUUCAAUAUUUCUCUAGAUAAAGAAGAUCCGGCUGUAAAAAAUGAUGAUGAAGAUCCAGAUGUAAACCCCUAUGAAGAAAUUCUGGCUGUAAACAACUAUGCCCGUCAGUCCCCUUGCAGGCAUCGGUUGACUCUGAAACUCGGCUGUGCUGGACUGAUUCUUGUCUUGACGCUGAUUGGAAUCAGUGUCUCAGUGGGAUUUUUAGUGCAAAAACCACCAAGAGUGAACAUGACUGAACCAACAGGGAGAACAGCCAUACUAACAUGCCUGAAAGAUUGGCAACCAUACAAGGAUAAAUGCUUAUUUAUUUCUCAAACUUCCGAUUCUUGGGCUGAAGGUCACAUUGAC
Molecule: non-coding RNA, 389 nt
Organism: Myodes glareolus (Bank vole)
Lineage: Eukaryota; Metazoa; Chordata; Mammalia; Rodentia; Cricetidae
Source: RefSeq, a predicted model, not a curated record